AUUGAACGCUGGCGGCAUGCUUUACACAUGCAAGUCGAACGGCAGCGGGGUAGUGCUUGCACUACUGCCGGCGAGUGGCGAACGGGUGAGUAAUAUAUCGGAACGUACCGAGUAAUGGGGGAUAACCAAUCGAAAGACUGGCUAAUACCGCAUACGUCCUGAGGGAGAAAGCGGGGGAUCGCAAGACCUCGCGUUAUUCGAGCGGCCGAUAACUGAUUAGCUAGUUGGUGGGGUAAAGGCCUACCAAGGCGACGAUCAGUAGCGGGUCUGAGAGGACGAUCCGCCACACUGGGACUGAGACACGGCCCAGACUCCUACGGGAGGCAGCAGUGGGGAAUUUUGGACAAUGGGGGCAACCCUGAUCCAGCCAUGCCGCGUGUAUGAAGAAGGCCUUCGGGUUGUAAAGUACUUUUGUUAGGGAAGAAAAGGGAAGUGCUAAUACCACUUUUUGCUGACGGUACCUAAAGAAUAAGCACCGGCUAACUACGUG
Molecule: ribosomal RNA, 490 nt
Filed under: uncultured bacterium
Lineage: Bacteria
Description: partial 16S ribosomal RNA
Rfam family: Bacterial small subunit ribosomal RNA
Source: RNAcentral